Molecule: ribosomal RNA, 489 nt
Filed under: uncultured bacterium
Lineage: Bacteria
Description: bacterial SSU rRNA
Rfam family: Bacterial small subunit ribosomal RNA
Source: RNAcentral
AUUGAACGCUGGCGGCAUGCCUUACACAUGCAAGUCGAACGGUAACGGGCCUUCGGGUGCCGACGAGUGGCGAACGGGUGAGUAAUGUAUCGGAACGUACCUUUCAGUGGGGGAUAACGUAGCGAAAGUUACGCUAAUACCGCAUAUUCUGUGCGCAGGAAAGCAGGGGAUCGCAAGACCUUGCGCUGAUUGAGCGGCCGAUAUCAGAUUAGCUAGUUGGUGAGGUAAAGGCUCACCAAGGCGACGAUCUGUAGCGGGUCUGAGAGGAUGAUCCGCCACACUGGAACUGAGACACGGUCCAGACUCCUACGGGAGGCAGCAGUGGGGAAUUUUGGACAAUGGGGGCAACCCUGAUCCAGCCAUGCCGCGUGAGUGAAGAAGGCCUUCGGGUUGUAAAGCUCUUCGGCCGGAAGAAAUCGUAUCAGCUAAUACCUGGUGCGGAUGACGGUACCGGCAUAAGAAGCACCGGCUAACUACGUGCCAGCAGCC